Molecule: long non-coding RNA, 2439 nt
Organism: Hordeum vulgare subsp. vulgare (domesticated barley)
Lineage: Eukaryota; Viridiplantae; Streptophyta; Magnoliopsida; Poales; Poaceae
Exons: 2
Source: RefSeq, a predicted model, not a curated record
GCCGCCAUGCGCUUGCCUCGGCCCCUACGCGCCGCCACCGCCAGGCGCUUCCGAUGCGUGGGGGCCGCCCCAUCCGUGCAGGUCUUCCUCUAUACUCACGGCUCGGCGCGAGCGCGACCGCUGCAGGCGACGCCGACGAGCCCCGCUCGCUCAUGCGCCCCAUUGUCGUGUUGUUUUUAUGCAUGUAGGAUGCAAGCGCCGCCGCUGCCAUUUUUAUGAUUGAGGUUCAGAAGUGUAUCUGUUGUUAUACUGGUUUACUUAUUAAAUUUCAUCAUAUGUAUACCUUCAUCCCGUGUCAUGGUAAUUUUCUCUAUAUAUGAUGUGUUAUUAUAACCAUUUCGAAAUUUCACUAUGCAGGACCAGAAGCGCAUCAUAUGCUGACAAUACCUGUAUCUAUCAGCGGUUUCCUGUAGCUGUAGGUCUUCUUAUGUUAUGGCAUUAUUUUGUUUAGUCGGUUGUGAAUUCCAUGUCAUCUUUACAUCUUGUUCCAUUUAUCACCAAAAUUGGGUCUGAACAACAUAUUUUAGCUGCUCUAGAGAAGCAAAAGAUCUUUUGGUAAGGAUGUUCAUCUUAUGCAGUGGCACUGAAUAGCGCUUCUGUAAGAAAUUUUUUAACAAGUUUGUUAAAACAAUUCCUUUCUUUCCCAGCACUGGAAUCACCUUUGUGAAUGCAAUCCAGAUAAGUGUCGCUUACUUUACUGACACACCCUUUCAGAGUUGGGUGAUCUAGCUUCUGAGGUGAGGGCUAAUCUCUCAGGGGAGAAUGUUAAGCCGGGCCUCUUGUUUCUUAAUGACAUCCCCACACCAUCUAAAAAGGUCCAAAACAUGGUACUUCGGGUCUCAGAGAAUUCAGAAGAAGUUCUUACAACAGUCGUUACUGGGUAAAUCAUGUAUGAUGUCAUACUUGCACCCUCAUUUGCAGCUUAUUUCAGGUUGUUGCUCAAUCAGGUGAGUUUGUCUUUUCUGCUUUUCAGUUCACAUCUGUUGGCAUGAAUUUACCCGUGCACUUGGUGCUAGCACUGAUGAUAAUUUGGACCUGUCAGUGUCAGACGGGGAAAUAUAUGCCCAUUAGUAGUGCAUCUUUAUUGAGUUUGAGGAGAAAGAGUAAUUAAUUCAUCUUGUGGCAUGCGUCCACACUUGUUAACAAAUUAACGCCUUUUAAUUUGUGUCUUAAAAGUACUUUUGUUAACAUUUGCAACCGAAGAUAUGAUCUACUUUUGCUAAUAGUGGUAAAAAAAGAGGAUCCAGAUUUCCAGAUUCUAUGUUGUACAGAAUUAUUCUUUGCCAACAAUAAUUUUGCUAAGUUGCUCUUGCCUCUCAGUGUUAUUAGUAUGAAUAUUCUAUGCAGCUGAACUUAUUUGCUAGAGAGAUUUAGAAACACGAGGACUGAUUACUGAUGAAAGAACCACAGAUAGAUAUAAGUUUUCUCCAUUGGCCAGCAAUUCAACUGCAUGUUUUAAAACUUUUUGCAUUAAUAGUGCAAUAGACGUGUAAUGCAUAGAUAUCUUUUUCUAUGUUUCUAUGUUCAUUUCCCACGAGACUUAGAAAAAUGAUUAUACUAGACAAGUAGUCAUUGUUACUUUGAUUCAGAAUGAGAAACAUUAUUUUUUGCUGAAUCAUUGGUGCAUUAGUUGACACCAAACCAUUCAAAGGUAUUGUACCUCAUGAUUGGUGAAGAUGGCAUAUUUCAAACAUGGUGACGAACAAAGGUUUAUAAUGCAGGCACCUCUGAUUUCUUAAGUUCUUAACAAUUUAAUGAUUGAUCAUUACUAUUCUCAUCAUUAUUAUAUAUAAGAAUACAAGGCCCUUCAGUUUUCUACUACCUCGACGGUAAAUGAGAUGACCAGGUAAUACGUGAAGAAGCAAAUAACUUGAUCAUACAAUGUAACAAAUUGUGAUGGCCGAUGUACUUUGCUGGCUCAGACGAGAACCAUUAUAUGCACAACACAAUAUUUUGUGACAGUAGUCUUUUUAAGCAAAAUGACCCUAUGAACAUCCUUAUCAUUAGUUGUUUCCUCAUAGUGGGAACUUCCUAUCGAGAAAAACUGGAGCAUCAGGUAGCUAUCGCACACAUCUUUCCGAGAACAAGAACACAUUUAUUUAUAUGUUUCUCUUAUUUUCUGUUUGUGAUUGCAGAAAAGAGUCUAGCUACUAGAGAUUUGAGCUGAAGCACAAGCCUUUCCUCUUGGAAUUGAUUUAGAACCCUAAGGAGGAGUUCCUAUCAUCAAUGCUAGAUGUACAGUCAAAUGCAUAUCGUUAUGAACUUUUCUCUCCAAACACCCUACAAAUAAUAGAUGUUAUCUUGUACUCUUAACAAGUCUCGCCCAUAUGGUAGUUGUCUUUAUAAAGCACCCUGUGAUAUUCUAUAAAGUAAGGUCGUCAUGUAGGAAAAUUGUAACAGCCCGAUGCCGACGUUCCAAAAGAUUCCCCUUUCUUUCCA